This is a long non-coding RNA of Xiphophorus hellerii (green swordtail), 572 nucleotides long. RefSeq lists it as uncharacterized. The transcript is spliced from 2 exons. NCBI's taxonomy places the organism in Eukaryota, Metazoa, Chordata, Actinopteri, Cyprinodontiformes, Poeciliidae. The record is from RefSeq and is a predicted model, not a curated record.
UAUUUGUAUAUUCUGUGUCAUUUGCUUUUCUGUAUUCUUUUACUUUAUGGGUAGUUGUCCCUUUAAGACAUUACUUUACGGCAGCAUUCCGACUGCAGUUGCUAGGGGAAUUCCCGGGCUUUAGAGUUCAGACCUGCUGCAGAGCAGAGACAUGCUAGUCUCAGCCUGGCUUCUGCAUAUCGCCUAACUUUUAUGCCCAUAUGAUGUUUCCCUGCUAGUGCAUUGUUGUGAGAGGAACGUUGGGCCUUCGUGUGCCUGCAGAGGAGGAAGGAGAGGCUGCUGAAUUUUCCGUGUUUGUGGACACCGGCUGCCAUCAUCAUUUUGGGUCCCUAUCCCAGUCAAGACAACCUUUUCAUUUGUAUGCACCAGACACACACGUACAAAUAUAGAGCUCUAUAUGAACUUUUUUUUUUUUGCUGGCCAGCUUCUUUUGGGGUUUUUUUCUCUCUACCAAGGACCCUGUUACAGUGAAUGUUGUUCACUCUAUGAUUUUAGUUGAGAUGAAGUUGGAUGUAUUUCAGUCCAGAAAUUUGUAAUAAACAAAACUGGUUGAUAGUAAACUGCUAUCUGAA